GAAUUCCUUCAUGCUUGGCAAGUAUUUACAAAAUCCAUAUCCCCCACACUGAUGUGAACCUUUAACUGAUGACUGCAGCCGUGUAGUUUGAGGGGUUUCUUGAUACAGACUGCUCCCUAUCUGUUCUCUGAUGUUUCGUCCGCGCCGCGCAGUGUGCCGACAGGUCAGCAGCGAGCCGCGGUGACGGGAUCUUCAGGCGCCGGCGCGAUAAUAUGAUGUCAUAGCGCCGGCCUGCCGUUGAUAGGCGACUCGUGAGAAAGAUCUUGCUUUAACUUCCACUGUUCCUGAUGACUUCCAUUUCUCAAUUACAUUACAAACAGAGGAUAUUGACAUCCGGAAACGUCAUCCUCUCACGUAAACAAAACAAGUCAUGU
Long non-coding RNA from Hyla sarda, 374 nucleotides. RefSeq lists it as uncharacterized. NCBI's taxonomy places the organism in Eukaryota, Metazoa, Chordata, Amphibia, Anura, Hylidae. The record is from RefSeq and is a predicted model, not a curated record. The transcript is spliced from 3 exons.